RNAcentral lists this transfer RNA (85 nucleotides) under Irpex rosettiformis. RNAcentral's name for it is "tRNA-Asp". The record is from RNAcentral. Lineage: Eukaryota; Fungi; Basidiomycota; Agaricomycetes; Polyporales; Irpicaceae.
UCCCUGGUAGUGUAUCGGCUAGUACACGCGCCUGUCACUUUAUUCAAGUGCGCGCGAAAGCGGGGUUCGACUCCCCGCCAGGGAG